This 3010-nucleotide ribosomal RNA is filed under the name Salmonella enterica subsp. enterica serovar Brancaster. RNAcentral describes it as "23S ribosomal RNA". It matches the Rfam family "Bacterial large subunit ribosomal RNA". The record is from RNAcentral. Lineage: Bacteria; Pseudomonadati; Pseudomonadota; Gammaproteobacteria; Enterobacterales; Enterobacteriaceae.
GGGUUGUGAGGUUAAGCGACUAAGCGUACACGGUGGAUGCCCUGGCAGUCAGAGGCGAUGAAGGGCGUGCUAAUCUGCGAUAAGCGCCGGUAAGGUGAUAUGAACCGUUAUAACCGGCGAUACCCGAAUGGGGAAACCCAGUGUGACUCGUCACACUAUCAUUAACUGAAUCCAUAGGUUAAUGAGGCGAACCGGGGGAACUGAAACAUCUAAGUACCCCGAGGAAAAGAAAUCAACCGAGAUUCCCCCAGUAGCGGCGAGCGAACGGGGAGGAGCCCAGAGCCUGAAUCAGCAUGUGUGUUAGUGGAAGCGUCUGGAAAGGCGCGCGAUACAGGGUGACAGCCCCGUACACAAAAGCGCAUGUGCUGUGAGCUCGAUGAGUAGGGCGGGACACGUGGUAUCCUGUCUGAAUAUGGGGGGACCAUCCUCCAAGGCUAAAUACUCCUGACUGACCGAUAGUGAACCAGUACCGUGAGGGAAAGGCGAAAAGAACCCCGGCGAGGGGAGUGAAAAAGAACCUGAAACCGUGUACGUACAAGCAGUGGGAGCACAGGUUUACCUGUGUGACUGCGUACCUUUUGUAUAAUGGGUCAGCGACUUAUAUUCUGUAGCAAGGUUAACCGAAUAGGGGAGCCGGAGGGAAACCGAGUCUUAAUUGGGCGUUAAGUUGCAGGGUAUAGACCCGAAACCCGGUGAUCUAGCCAUGGGCAGGUUGAAGGUUGGGUAACACUAACUGGAGGACCGAACCGACUAAUGUUGAAAAAUUAGCGGAUGACCUGUGGCUGGGGGUGAAAGGCCAAUCAAACCGGGAGAUAGCUGGUUCUCCCCGAAAGCUAUUUAGGUAGCGCCUCGUGAAUUCAUCUCCGGGGGUAGAGCACUGUUUCGGCUAGGGGGCCAUCCCGGCUUACCAACCCGAUGCAAACUGCGAAUACCGGAGAAUGUUAUCACGGGAGACACACGGCGGGUGCUAACGUCCGUCGUGAAGAGGGAAACAACCCAGACCGCCAGCUAAGGUCCCAAAGUCAUGGUUAAGUGGGAAACGAUGUGGGAAGGCCCAGACAGCCAGGAUGUUGGCUUAGAAGCAGCCAUCAUUUAAAGAAAGCGUAAUAGCUCACUGGUCGAGUCGGCCUGCGCGGAAGAUGUAACGGGGCUAAACCAUGCACCGAAGCUGCGGCAGCGAACGUAUCACUUAAAGCGAUUCAGCGGGUUACGAUUGACGGAGCGAAGCGACGUCAAAGCGUAUACAAAGUCGAGUCGGUUUAAGGAUACGUUCGUUGGGUAGGGGAGCGUUCUGUAAGCCUGCGAAGGUGGCCUGUGAGGGUUGCUGGAGGUAUCAGAAGUGCGAAUGCUGACAUAAGUAACGAUAAAGCGGGUGAAAAGCCCGCUCGCCGGAAGACCAAGGGUUCCUGUCCAACGUUAAUCGGGGCAGGGUGAGUCGACCCCUAAGGCGAGGCCGAAAGGCGUAGUCGAUGGGAAACGGGUUAAUAUUCCCGUACUUGGUGUUACUGCGAAGGGGGGACGGAGAAGGCUAUGUUGGCCGGGCGACGGUUGUCCCGGUUUAAGCGUGUAGGUGUGUGUUCCAGGUAAAUCCGGUUCACUUUAACACUGAGGCGUGACGACGAGGCACUACGGUGCUGAAGCAACAAAUGCCCUGCUUCCAGGAAAAGCCUCUAAGCAUCAGGUAACAUCAAAUCGUACCCCAAACCGACACAGGUGGUCAGGUAGAGAAUACCAAGGCGCUUGAGAGAACUCGGGUGAAGGAACUAGGCAAAAUGGUGCCGUAACUUCGGGAGAAGGCACGCUGACAUGUAGGUGAAGUGAUUUACUCACGGAGCUGAAGUCAGUCGAAGAUACCAGCUGGCUGCAACUGUUUAUUAAAAACACAGCACUGUGCAAACACGAAAGUGGACGUAUACGGUGUGACGCCUGCCCGGUGCCGGAAGGUUAAUUGAUGGGGUCAGCGCAAGCGAAGCUCCUGAUCGAAGCCCCGGUAAACGGCGGCCGUAACUAUAACGGUCCUAAGGUAGCGAAAUUCCUUGUCGGGUAAGUUCCGACCUGCACGAAUGGCGUAAUGAUGGCCAGGCUGUCUCCACCCGAGACUCAGUGAAAUUGAACUCGCUGUGAAGAUGCAGUGUACCCGCGGCAAGACGGAAAGACCCCGUGAACCUUUACUAUAGCUUGACACUGAACAUUGAGCCUUGAUGUGUAGGAUAGGUGGGAGGCUUUGAAGUGUGGACGCCAGUCUGCAUGGAGCCGACCUUGAAAUACCACCCUUUAAUGUUUGAUGUUCUAACGUGGACCCGUGAUCCGGGUUGCGGACAGUGUCUGGUGGGUAGUUUGACUGGGGCGGUCUCCUCCUAAAGAGUAACGGAGGAGCACGAAGGUUGGCUAAUCCUGGUCGGACAUCAGGAGGUUAGUGCAAUGGCAUAAGCCAGCUUGACUGCGAGCGUGACGGCGCGAGCAGGUGCGAAAGCAGGUCAUAGUGAUCCGGUGGUUCUGAAUGGAAGGGCCAUCGCUCAACGGAUAAAAGGUACUCCGGGGAUAACAGGCUGAUACCGCCCAAGAGUUCAUAUCGACGGCGGUGUUUGGCACCUCGAUGUCGGCUCAUCACAUCCUGGGGCUGAAGUAGGUCCCAAGGGUAUGGCUGUUCGCCAUUUAAAGUGGUACGCGAGCUGGGUUUAGAACGUCGUGAGACAGUUCGGUCCCUAUCUGCCGUGGGCGCUGGAGAACUGAGGGGGGCUGCUCCUAGUACGAGAGGACCGGAGUGGACGCAUCACUGGUGUUCGGGUUGUCAUGCCAAUGGCACUGCCCGGUAGCUAAAUGCGGAAGAGAUAAGUGCUGAAAGCAUCUAAGCACGAAACUUGCCCCGAGAUGAGUUCUCCCUGAGACUUAGAGUCUCCUGAAGGAACGUUGAAGACGACGACGUUGAUAGGCCGGGUGUGUAAGCGCAGCGAUGCGUUGAGCUAACCGGUACUAAUGAACCGUGAGGCUUAACCUUACAACGCCGAAG